Non-coding RNA from Zootoca vivipara (common lizard), 8651 nucleotides. The record is from RefSeq and is a predicted model, not a curated record. Lineage: Eukaryota; Metazoa; Chordata; Lepidosauria; Squamata; Lacertidae.
GAACAAAGUUUUGUCCUGUGGGGAUGAGAACAAAAACGCAUUAAGAAGCAAAUGCCAGCUGAUUAAAAAUGGCCAUGUUUUGGGGAACAGAGUUUUUUUAAAAUAAAAGUCAAGCCAAGCUUCUUUAAGAUUUGGACAGCUGUUCUGCCCAGAAUAAAACAGAGCGAUGGUGUAGAAUGCUUCCAGACUAUUUCCAGUGUAUUGUAGUAGGUGGCUGUCUAGAGUAAAAUAUUUAACAUUUAUGAAUGAAGGCAUUGAUAUUAAAGACAAGCCUGGAUGACUUGCAGAGGAUCUGCUCCCUCAUUUCCCACAACUGCAACUCUGUGCUAAUAUGCUUGAUCACUCAGCUGGUUGUCUGCAUCAUUCACCAACACCACCGUGGAAGGGAAGUAGUGCAGUGGUAGAGCACCUGCUUUUCAUACAAAAGGUCCCAUGUUCAAUCCUUCACACCUCCAGGAAGGGCUAGGAUGGUCUGAAAUCACAGAGAGAUGCAGACAAUCAGUGUAGAAAAUGCUCAGCUAGAUGGACCGUUAGUCUGACUUAGUGCAAGGUAGGUUUUCAGGUGCAUGGUUUGGUUUGAUAGAUACUAUUUUCCACUUCCAGCUUCUCAUUUUGCCUCAUUUAGAUUAUCAUUCCAGCAUCUAGAGAUCCAAUCUUGGCAGAAGUUGUGUCCGUAGGCUAGCGUCACGGGAUCUGCAAAGUAGCCCAGGGCAAGUAGCUUCAUUCCUAAGCCUCUUAUUGGGGCUCUCAGCCAUAGCUUCAAUAUAGCAGUGCAACACAAAGGGAACUAAUUUCUUUUCUCCUGUGCUAUGAAGCAGCCCCACUGGGAAGAGAGCUCAAAAGGACUCUAUCUCCACCCCCAAAGCCCAGCAAAAGCAGUUAUCCUAAUUUGGCAGAGGGUAGCAAAGGGGCUUCUGUUCAAGCGUCCGAACCAGAGCAACUCUGACUACCAGCAAGCUGGGGGGGGGGAGGUGAAGCAGCGGGUAAUGAAAUCAAAACCCCUGCUACGAAAAGAAGCAGAUAUGAACAUUCUGUUAGUGAUGUUUGAUCUGUGGUGGCUCUUUUGACCCAAUGAGCCACCAGCUCCAAUAUUUGUUGCAUUGGUCAUUAAGGACCUGUUGCUGUGGACUGGGGAUUUACUAUGCUGCUCUGCAAUAAAUUACUAAAGAGCAGUCUUUUCCAUGUUGUCUUACAUAAGAUGCUCAACCCCACUGUUUUUCUGCUGAGGAAAUUAAGCAGUGUUGCAUUCUUCACAGAACACCCAAUUAAUUUCACAGAAAUCACGCAACUGACUCUACAUGUCCUAAACAAGGUUUAGAUUCGUCCAUUAUGCAUCAUUUAUUUGAUUUCUAAACUAGUUUGGAAAGCACAAGGAUGAUGGAAAGUAAACAAAGAAGAGGAUGUGAGUCAAGGGUCUACUGGGGACAGGAACCCUGGUCCGUUGGGGUGUUAUCCUGAAUCCUGUCCAGUAAACCAUGCCCUAUUUAUUAAGAAUUGCUUGUGCAUUAAAAAACUUUUCUUCCCAAUUUAUUCUGAGAAAUUUCUUGCUUUUCUUAUGAAGUUCUUUUUUUCUGGUUUCCUAUAGGUAUCUGGUUCGCCACUGUGAGAACAGGAUGCUGGCCUGAUCCAGCAAGAUCUCAUGUCCUUAUGUCGGUGUUCUUCUAAUCACCAUUCCUCAAGUUCAGAAUCAAUUGUGCAUACAAGUUUGUUUUUUAAAAUUAGUUUUUAAAAGAUUUUAUUGUAUUAUGAAACAGACAAAUAAGCAAAGAAUAGUACAAUUGGGGGAAAAGAGAGGGAGGAAGAAGGGGUGUAUUGUUCUUUCAUUCUGUUGCAGACUGUUGGUUUAGGGGUUUGUGUCAGUAUCAUGUUGACAGGUCGUGUGUGUGUGUGUGUGUGUAGACAUUGCGAGAUGUUAGGGGUCCAAAGCUUGGUUGAUUGUGUUCAGGUGGUUACAUUGUGGUGUGGGGGUGGGUUGUUGGGUCAGGUUAGCCGUGUUGAUUUGUAUGUUGUUGGUGAGGAUAGGUCACUGUUGUGUUGUGCUUUGUAUGUGAUAAUUGGAGAUUCACACUGGGGUUAGCUUGUCCCUGUGCUAAUUUGAGUUGGUUGGUUAACUUUUCCAGUAGGGCUUUCCCCCAUAUAUUUUGGUACCAGUGGUCUGUGUUCACUUUUUGAAUGCCGCAUGCUUCAGCCACUACUGUAGUCACCGAAGGUGUGAUACUCCCAUUUCCAAAUCAUUCUCUUGUUUCCUCUAAAACAGACAUUAAAAAAAUAUGGUCCCUCAGACUCAUGUCAGUAGGUGGCAUCCUCAAGGGCCUGUUGCUAUUGGCAUCACUGCCCUUCCCCAGUAUUCUGAUGAGCCCAGUCGGCAGCCAUUGUAACUGUGUCAGGAACUGAGGACCACUGUCCUAUGUGGCAAGAUGUGUCACUACAGCUUCUCAGAGAAGAAUCUUUAGAAUGGAUUCAGCCCAGGCUCGAUUUGGCUCCUUCUGAGCAGGAAGGAGAAUAAGAGGACUUCCCGUCUCAGUGAUGCUUUGAGCUCUAGCAUGUGUUGUGUUUCUGGUAUUGCUGUUAAGUUCUGGUGCUUAGCUUGUACUAUCAGCCCUAUCUUCUGGUUUGACCUCUGAAUUAGAUUGCUUUUUUGCCUGAUUUCCAUUUACUGGUUCUUGAUUUAAUGCCUGUGUCCCUCAACCCAGCCUGGACUAUGCCCAAGGUUGAAAAGCUUUUGUUAAGCCCACUCACUUGUUUCCACUUACUAAUUUGGGAAUGCUUUGCUUGGAUGGAAUGGCUGGCUGGCAUCUUGACAAGGAACACCUUGGAGGUGAGGAUAUAUGGCAGGCAUAGGCAAACUCGGCCCUCCAGAUGUUUUGGGACUACAACUCCCAUCAUCCCUAGCUAACAGGACCAGUGGUCAGGGAUGAUGGGAGUUGUAGUCCCAAAACAUCUGGAGGGCUGAGUUUGCCUAUGCCUGAUCUAUGAUAACAUUUUAGGCUUCCCAUGGGCAGUUGGUUAGUCACUGUUGGAGCAAGAUGCUGGACUAACUAGGUAGGCUAUUGCCCUGAUCCAGGAGAGUCUUCUUACAUUCUUUUCUUUUUUUAAAGAACGUUCCAUGUGUUUAAACUAGUACUGGUAUCACCAACAGACUUUUAAAAUAGCCAUUCUCAGUCAUUAAGAAAUAAUCUGAACAAAAAAGGAAGCUAUGUAUGUGUGUUUUAUACUAGUGAGUGCUUUUUUCAGGAAAUAAUUUUAAAAUAAAUCCAGGCCGUUACAAGAUGCUUGCUUUUGACAGUCUGUCUCCACUUGUUAGCAGAAGUCUGGCUGACUUUAUCGGAAGCAGAACCAGGCCCAUUAAGAUGAGCAACACACUGCAGCCAGUGCACUUGGGGAAUGAAAACCAAGAAGAGACUGCAAACAUUUCCUCUUGGAUUGGCAAGACUGAGACCAUUGUUCAUCUUUGAUGACCAGCUGUAUGAAGAUCUUCAUGUGCACACAGCCUGCUGUUUGGUGCCAUUAAUUAAAAUGAUGUAAACAGAUCAUGUCUGAAAAGAAUGGCAUUUGAACUGCAAACUCUUCCAAAGACAUCAGGCACAGCAAUCUGAACUUGCUGCAGCGACUCUGCCGAAGGAUGGAACUACCACCCUCAUGGCAGAAGCAGUGGAAGGUUAAGGGGACCAGGCUGAUUAAUUCUGGAACCUAUGUUGGCCAGUGCAGAUGUGAAAGCAGUUCAGGAUCCACCAGGCUCUGUUGUCAGGAAUACUGCUGAUGCUCAGAGACCUUUGAGUAGCAAGCGUCUAACACAUCUAAUAAAUAACAACAACCAAACAACAGAUAUUUUUGGUAUCUGCAAAACUCUAAAAAACAACAACACCUUGCCUCCUGGAAGAUCAAGACUCAACAUGGGAACAGGAAAAAACCUGCGUAGGCAAGCUUGACAUUGAUAUUUUCCACUCCUAUUCUAAACAGAGAAAGCCGCACUCGCAGAGCUCAAGCGAUGAUGGAUUUCGGCAUCAAUGUCGGCCCUUGUGGAAAGAUAACUGCUCAGGUAGGAGAAGUGAUCGACAUUUUCCAACCUUACACCACUGAGUUGGAUUUGUGGCGCUGCAGAGGAGUUGUUUUGUGCUUGUUGGUGCAACACUUUGGUUUUUUGGAUGUUGAGCGAUAGGCCAAGCUUCUCGUAAGCUUCUGUGAAGAUAUUUAGGAUGGUUUGGAGGUCAUCCUCUAAGUGUGUACAUACUACAUUGUCAUGGCUUAGCUCUCAGUGGUGGUGCAGCAGCAGGACCACAGGUGCAGCAUUGUAGCUGCCAUCUCUGGGAACUCUCACAAGAUGACGCUAAGCCAUGGCUCCAUUUUAUAUCACUUCCACACUCCAUUACUUUGCCCCAUCAAUAGCAUCCCCACCCCAAAUCCUUUUUUCCACAUGCACUUUCUACUGAGCUCCCCCCAUUCACACACACCUCAGAGUGAGUUAUUAUUUCUUCAAGGCAAAUGCUACAAAACGCUGUUGACAUCUUGUUCAAAAUAUAUUCAUGCAGAAGGAUGUGGACCCUUAGGUCAACUCAUGGUAAUGAGAUGAAUGAAGAGAUAUGGCUGAAAUGAGGGCCCAGCAUAACACAGCCCUCUCCAAAGAAUCUGUCACUUGAACAAAACAGGUUGGGACUAUUUAGUAUCCGAGCUUCCAGUACGGUUACCAUGGUUUCUGCACAGAGAGCAAUGGACUGCCUUGCAAUUAUAUUCCUUCCAAUGACAAAUAACAGGGGAAUAGGAAAUGGGAUAAUAUAAUCUUGAGGCCUCCUGUCAGAACUGUGAGAUGCAAGAGGCAGCAUUCAUUUAUCUCUGAAACACCCUAACAACAGAGAGUGCAAACUGAUGUACUCUAAACAAAAUGUCCAUUGGUUUAGCUCGUAGGCUCCUCUUGUCUUUCAGCUUUUGUUUUCUCUAAGUAUGGAAUUGAUUUGAAGUUACGUGACACCAGUUCAGUUCACGUGGGUCACUUUUAUUCUGCUGGAAAUGCCCUCAAAUCCACUUGCAUCCCCAGCAGCUUCUGUGCAACUCAUUCAGCGCAUAUUCUUGAAUUCAGUGUGUGUACACAACAUGUUUGUAAAGGAAAGGCUUCUUUUAGGCCCCUUUGAUGCUUGAACAGACUAAGGUGGUUUGCAACAAAGCCAAUCAAUGACUGACACAUUAAAUUUAUUCAGUGGUAAACACAGAGCAGGCAUCACAGAGGAUUAAAUCAGACUAGGGAAUGACUUGGAGCUAAAUGCAAGUGCUACUUUCAGAAAAAAGUUGUAGUAACAACAUCUUACAGCGCAAGGAGGACAGGUGUGAGCAUCACCAAGACCUGAACUUUGUGAGGGGUGCAGGAAGAUGGUAACAACAUCAAGCACAAUGCUUACUACAUAAUAUACAAAGCACAGUGGAACCUCGGUUGUCGAACUUUGACUUCUGAGGUGUGUUUAUCCAUUUUUAAAAAGCAAUUUGCGAGCUGGCAAUUGCGCCUUGGUUGUCGAACAUUUUGGAAGUCGAACGGUCUUCCGAAAUAGAUUAUGUUUGACAACCAAGGUUCCACUGUAAUUCUAUAUGACACUUUCAAAUGUGAAACAACUGAACUGACCUUGUACAUUUUCCAAAUGCAUCUAGCUUUCUUAAUAGAACAGCCACAUUAUUUUGCCUUGGCAACUUUCUGCCUUAUGAGAGACUCAAAGGAUGCUUAGGUGUACAUGCUUAAGUGUAAAUCAGCAUGCACAAGUCAAGGGCUAUAGCCAAGAAGAAAGGUCCAUCUUGCUCAUUAUUGACACUGAUUGGUGGUGGGUCUCUGGGAAUCUUUCCUACCCCUGUCUUGAGAUGCCAGGGAUUGAACCCGGGACCUAACAUUAUCAUUUUCAAAUAUAUUUUAUUGUUUGGUUGUGUCUGUGGUGUUUUAGUUGCCUUGUGAGCUGUCUUGGAUGAACUGGGUGUAGAAAGGCAGAAUAGAAAUUGUGACAUAAAUAAAUGUCAGAAAGACUGAAAUGCACUGCUGUGGCAUUGUAAAACACAAAAGGCUGCCUUAUACUAGAUUAUACUAUUAAUCCAUCAUACCCAGCAUUAUUCACUCUCAUGGCCUAAACAGAUGUGUACUUAAAUUCCUAGCAGGCAUCUAUGUGUCUUGGUUUUCCUUAUGUAAUUCCAGAUGUGGGGGAGCCCAAUAAUUAUGGUAUAGGCAGCUGGAAGUGUUUCUUACUGCCCUGCUGAGAUCAGAAUGGAGAUCUCCCCUCCAGGCUAGGUUUUCCUUUGGCAGCUUUGGCAAUUCUGCAACUCUUCCUCAGGUCCAGCCAUUUCUAGCUAUGCACAAAGAUAAGUUGCCCAUAUUGCCUACAUGCACAACAUAUCUGGGCAAUGGAAAAUAUAUGGAGGCAAUUGUGUAAUUUUUCAAAAUGUGGCUCGGUAGAGAGGAGUCACAAUGUAGUGAUUACAUUGUAAAUGUUGUCAUUUUGGUUUCGGGUGUGCUCAAAAUGGAGUUUAUUUUCUAGAGCACUACUUAGAAGGAAUAUCCCAGGGGCCAAAAGGCUAAUCACACGCCCAAAACUAGAUGUGGCCCAACUGAAAAACAAAACAAUAAAGAACCACCCCAAAAGCCUUGAGAGUUUGUGAGCUUGAGCAAAGCAACAGAGGCGGAUGGGAGGGAUAGCUAUUAACAGCUGCUGCUACUACUAUAACUACUCCAAAGUUAUUACCCCAUGUUUCUUCCAAGUAACUCAAGGCAGCAUACUUAAGUUUAUAUCCCAAUUUGCUUUCAGUCUGCUCCCAACCUUCCCCAGAUUAACUUCAUAGCAACCCUGUAAGAUAUGUUAGGCUAAAAGGUAGGCAAUGCUCAAGGUCAUUCUAAAAGUUCAUGGCCGAGUGGGACUUUGAACCCGGGUCACUCCAGGCCUGCUCUGACAUGCCAACCCUGGGGUAGCCAAUGUGGCAACCUCAAGGACUACAACUCCCAUCAGCCCCUGCCAACAUGGCCAAUGGUCAGGGAUGGUGGGAGCUGUAGUCCAACAACGUCCAGAAGGUACUACUGUACAUGUGUCUUCUCAUAUGGGAAAGCAGCUUGGAAGGGAUCAUUGUGAAAAGAAAAACUAUUGGAGAGUAAAGGGCUAAGCAGCACUCUGCUCCUCUAUUCCUCCGCUAAAACCUCCAGCCUCCUGUGGCUACUUUUGGUUCGAGGGGGGAAGUCAGUGGACAAAUACACUUGACUACAUCUCAUUUUGUUUGAGUUUUAGAGAUAUACUGCAUGCCUCGUACCAUACAAAAGCAGCGUGUAUCAUGAAGAAACAUUUUGACUGCUUACCUUGAAGGAAAUUUCAUACUGCUCCCCUCCCCAGAUUUCUAAACCUGGAUCGUAGCCACCGAGAUCCCAAAACCACUUUCUGUUAACAGCGAACAGACCUCCAGCCAUAACAGGGGAUCUGACGAAGGAAUAUAACAAACUGUCAAUGGCAGGCAUCAUCAUGGCAUGCUUGAAAAGCUGAAAUGACUGGCAAAAUGUGCUUGAUGGAGACAGAUACUGUGGGAGUUAUCAGCAUGAUAUGUGACAGGGGUGUCCUUCAGGUGCUGCUGGACUCCAGUUUCCACCAUCCUUGACCAAUCUAGCUGGGGCUGAUGGGAGCUGCAGUCCAAAAGGAUUUAGAAUCAUAGAAUCAUAGAGCUGGAAGAGACCACAAGGGCCAUCCAGUCCAACCCCCUGCCAAGCAGGAAACACCAUUUGGAGGGCACCACUUUGGCUGUCCUUGGUACAUGGUGUGGUUCUCAUUAGCAUAAAACCCAGGGAAUGGGAAUUUCAACCAUUUCAACGCAAUGUUUCUUCAAGCCAAAACACAUGGGGUGACAGUGUUAGUUGUAUGCAGAGUAAACCCACUGAAAUAAAUGCACAAGUAUCUAUUCUGGGUAUGAUUUAAGCUGCCUAUUACCCAUGGUAUGCAAAGCAUACCCCAGCCCGUUCAGACAAAGCUCUUGCAGCAAAACAUAGAUGUUUAAUGGUAUGUCAUAAUGUCCAUGGAAUAUGAAUGGGGUUUCACCUUUAUUGAUGUUUCCAAAUAUAUGAACACAUUGAGUGGCAUUUUAUUGAAUGGUUUUACCAAAAGAUUUUGAUUUUGACCUUCCAUUCCCAACUCUAGCCAAAGUAAGCAAGUUAUAGCAUGGUUGUAUUUUUUGUUAAAACAAUGCCCUUGAGCCUCAACAUAAUAAACAUAUUUAUUGUGCCUGUUUUGCACACAGAUGAGCUUGUAGCUUUCAGUACAACCCCUAGUUAUCAUGCUCGAUGGAAACUCAGCCUGUAGCUAACCCAAAGUAUGUGUGACUGAAACAAUCACAUAUUCCUUCCCAGUUUACAACUGAUUGCUAAUAAUGCCCUCAAUCCAGCUAAGGUUCUCACUUGAAACCAAGGGGGAAAGUGGCUUGCCAGCAAUUCAAGGCUCAUUGCUUCCAGUGGCAUUUAGUUAUUCCGAACUUUAGCUGGAUUGGGGUCAGUGUGUUGGUUACCUUUUUUCAGUGGCGUCAUUCAUUCCUUUCCAUCUAUUGUUCACAAUGGCUAUGAAACACAAUAAAUAAUGGAAUCCCCUCAAAAUUGCAUCCUGAAUUGAUUGCUCACUUCAAUUAGUUUCAACUCAAGACAUGCCUGAAUGUCACCCCCC